UCAAUUCUUUACUUGAAGAAACGGUGUCGUUUUGACCGCGGUGCACGGUCCACGACAUAACGACCGAAUUCUAACCUUGUGCCAUGGCCUACGGGCCAAGGGACAGUUUCAGGUAGACAAUUUCUAUGGGGCGUAGGCGUCCCAAAAGGUAACAGAGGCGUGCAAACGUUUCCUCGGGCCGGACGAAGAUCGGCCCUCGAGUGCAAAAGCAGGGAGCUUGACUGCAAGACCCACCCAUCGAGCAGGGACGAAAGUCGGUCACUUCAUUGAUAGCCAAUCAUUAGA
RNAcentral lists this non-coding RNA (285 nucleotides) under Ipomoea nil (Japanese morning glory). RNAcentral describes it as "Bacterial large subunit ribosomal RNA". It matches the Rfam family "Bacterial large subunit ribosomal RNA", at positions 2120 to 2437 of the family's 2925-position model. The record is from Rfam by way of RNAcentral. Lineage: Eukaryota; Viridiplantae; Streptophyta; Magnoliopsida; Solanales; Convolvulaceae.